CCUACGGGAGGCUGCAGUGAGGAAUAUUGGUCAAUGGACGAGAGUCUGAACCAGCCAAGUAGCGUGAAGGAUGACUGCCCUAUGGGUUGUAAACUUCUUUUAUAUGGGAAUAAUAUGUUCCACGUGUGGGAUUUUGUAUGUACCAUAUGAAUAAGGAUCGGCUAACUCCGUGCCAGCAGCCGCGGUAAUACGGAGGAUCCGAGCGUUAUCCGGAUUUAUUGGGUUUAAAGGGAGCGUAGGUGGAUUGUUAAGUCAGUUGUGAAAGUUUGCGGCUCAACCGUAAAAUUGCAGUUGAAACUGGCAGUCUUGAGUACAGUAGAGGAGGGCGGAAUUCGUGGUGUAGCGGUGAAAUGUUUAGAUAUCACGAAGAACUCCGAUUGCGAAGGCAGUUCACUGGACUGCAACUGACACUGAGGCUCGAAAGUGUGGGUAUCAAACAGGAUUAGAUACCCGUGUAGUC
This 460-nucleotide ribosomal RNA is filed under the name uncultured bacterium. Its description in RNAcentral is "partial 16S ribosomal RNA". It matches the Rfam family "Bacterial small subunit ribosomal RNA", at positions 338 to 795 of the family's 1533-position model. The record is from RNAcentral.